Molecule: transfer RNA, 73 nt
Filed under: Polymyxa betae
Lineage: Eukaryota; Endomyxa; Phytomyxea; Plasmodiophorida; Plasmodiophoridae
Description: tRNA-Thr
Source: RNAcentral
UGCCUCGUAUGUGACUCGAACACAUGAUCUCUCGCUUACUAAGCGAGCGCCUUACCAACUUGGCCAACGAGGC